Alligator mississippiensis (American alligator) is the source of this 5856-nucleotide long non-coding RNA. RefSeq lists it as uncharacterized. Lineage: Eukaryota; Metazoa; Chordata; Crocodylia; Alligatoridae. The transcript has 4 exons. The record is from RefSeq and is a predicted model, not a curated record.
UGAAGGCAGAAACAUCACCUAGCUGAGCUGCAGCAGGAACAACCAGGAGAUGGAAGAUGUCCAGGUGGACCCAGAAGAAGAUCUCAUUGUUAUAAUGGGGGAGAGAACUGUAACAGUCACAAAACAGCACUGCCCAGAUGCAAGUUCCUUUCCCUGUGGCCUCUGGAAUACUCCUUGCUGGAAAAGCCCUACCAGUAUACACAACUUCAAUCAAAGCUAAAGAAAAAUAUCUACUCGAAGGGUGAGCAGUCUAUUUGCUCACAGCUGCCCACUAUCCUUUAUUUUCUUAGAUCUUCCCUAUCUUUAGAGAGCUCAACUUCAAUCAGUCCUUUCACUCUCAAUGAUAUGUUAAUAUCCUAAACACAAAAGAAAUAAUAGGGAAAAAAACAACCUGUUCCCCACUGAGCUGCUUUCAGCAGCUUCCUCCAUCUCCACACUCUGGCACUCACUGUAGAUGGGCCCUGCAGCAUACCCUUUCAGCAGUUAGAACUCCUCUGAGCUCUUAGACUGAAUCUCAAUCUUCUUCCCCACCUCUGGAGUCUCUGUCACUCUUCCCUGCACUCCCGUCCGGACCACUGGCUUGCUUGCGGACUUCAUCCUCCCUCUCCCCUCCUGUAGGUUUUUUUUCUCCCAAGAAGGGCAUCAAACUCAAGAGAUGCCAAACUGGAAGGAGUGGUAACUUCUGAAACAGUCUUCUGGCAGCUGUAUUUCUCCCUCCGUCAGUCUGGCUUCUUGUUGGUCCCAGUAAGUUUUUCAGAUCCCUUUCCCUGUUCUCUGAAGAGGCAGGGGAAGCCUCGUCACACCAGUGUGAGGGGCAUUCUAAGGAGUGUUUUGAAAGAGGGGAGUUUGCAGAUGAUGAAAAACAGAAAUCCCCAUUUUCUAGAUUAACAAUACCCCCUUUAGAGAUUUUUCUUAAUGGUGCCACAACUAUGACAUUGAAUUAUGCCUUGUCUGAGAAUCAGAAAGAGGUCCUACACACUCCAUUACUCUUUCCUUCCAUGCCAGCUGACCAAGGUACAGUAAGCACCCAGUCCUUCACCACUGAUUUCAGUAGAGUGGAGCUGGUAUGCUUUACACAGUUAAUUGGCCAGAGCAACUUACUUGAUUAACAAUGCACUAAGAGACAUUCAGAGACCACUAUCCUGCAAACUCUCUCUGCCACAAGUAAUAACCUAUUGCAUUAUAUUAGUUCCAGGAUAAGACCAUUUUUAUUUAAAUUUCAUUUGUUUAAUCAAAAUCAUUUAUCAACCUAAAUCAUCUCUUGAAUAUUUUGUGACCUGAAAUGUCAGCUUUUCUGAUUAAUGUAGUGGUUCAACUGUGGAAAUGCAUAACAUUUAACAGAUAUUAAGCAAAAUAUGUAUAUGCUUUCUUACCUACUUUGAUUGAAAUCUAUAUAUGUUGGUAGCUUCAAAUGGGAACCAAUUGCAUUUACAAUAGUGAAACUCUGGUGCAUCUCCAGUGAAGCCACUGAAAUUAUCCUGGAUUUAUUUUGAGACAAAUUAAAUCAGAACCUGAUCCAAAGUGUGAAUAACUGGUACCUUCCCAAGUAGUACUUGUAUAAUUUCUGUGCAGAGGUGAGUUUUUCCUAGAUCACUGGCAUACCUAAGAUCAGUGUAAUCUGGCCUUGGGAUAUUUAUUGACCAUAACUUUCAUUACAGAGCAGCCAAAUACCAAAUCUGUGCAAGUUUUAAAAGUCUGUAUUAAAGGUUUAAACCUUUUUGCUUAUGAAAAAUGUUCCUACAAAUGUUCCUGUCCCAUUUGGGAUAUUAAAUGUGAGCUAUACAUUUGCUCUGAAGGAACUGUUAUAACUAGUUAUAGCCCUUGAUCCAGAGCACCUUAUAAAAAAACAUUUUUUAUUUUAUUUUAUUUUAAGGGGAGAUAGUAGGCUACAUGGAAGUCAGGCUAUAUGGAGCUAGGUUGUAUAAAUAUAGCUCAGUAAAAUGUCCAUAGUAAAAUAAUAAUAAUAAUAAUAAUUAAUAACUUGUAACUGUCACCUGCUAUAUAUUGAGUACUUCAUCCAAAUAGCCAAGAAUACAUCUACAGGCAUACAUUACUUCACCACAGGUACUAGGGAAGUCAAAGUAUUUUGAAAUGUUAUCAAAAACUGCCAGUGAGUGAUAGUUUGCUCAGCAUCUUCUCUCCUCUUAUUCUCUCCCCAUCCUCUUUUAUUGGCAUUGGAGAUGCUCCAGAAAAAUCCUGGAAGAGGGAAAUAAAUAUCCUCAAGAAUGGUGGGGCUGAAUGUACAUCAUCUGGAAGAAACACAAUGAUGAUGAAUGACUGGUGGAUGAAAGAGUAAGAAGUGAGAAAAACAUACAGAAGUCUCCAACAUUAGAGCAAACUUCUUGUAGAGAAGUAAAGCAAGGACUGUGAGAGCUCAUCUAGUCUAACCAGGGAUUGAACCUGCACCGUGCUCUAACCAAGCUAAUCAGCCACUGAAUGAUACAGCUCUGUGGAGCUAAAAAAUAGCAGAAGGAAAUUAGCUUAAAAACUGUACCCAUGAAGUUAAACAUACCGGGAAUUAAUUAAAUCAAAGGUAAACAGGGAUUCAUCUUAAAAGCUACUAAAUCUUUUUCAGUAAAGAAUUAGGGAUGCACUCCUAGUCUGUUUAGAAUCGAUAGGAGUUUGCCACUGAAUCCCAUGAUGGAAGAAUUUCACUUAAGAUAUAUAAACUUUUGCCAGUAUGAGGAUAAAGCCCAUUCUUUCUAUCCCUAUACAUUGGACUAUUCAAACUCGUGACAGGCAAAUAUUAAACUGUAGAAAUAAGAUUUUUUUAAGAAGGAUAAUACAGUAACCAAAUAUUAUAAAUUCAUCUAAGUGUAUUAAGUGUGCUAAGUUGAAUAAGCAACGUUUUCUGUGAUGUCAUUCAUAAGCAGCUGUACAGUUUAUGAAAUUAUGAGGAAAUAUAUUGAAGGAUAAAAAUGGAUCCUAUUUACAAAUUAGAUGAAUUAGAGGAGUUACUACUAAAAGGUUAACAAUUACCAACAGUUAUUAAGCUUAGAUAUCUAUGAUACUUCAACUCUGUGCUUAAACUUAGGACAGCCAAAACUGUAUGAAUUAUUAGUUAGUAUAUGACAUAUAUUAUACUUAAGGCUACUUCAGUCACUGCUCUCAAACACAGCACCAAGAACUCCCAUUUUGCUGGACAGGGAUAAAAUGGGAGGGAAAUGAGGUAUAUAUCCUCUGGUGCCAAGGGUUCCAAGUGCAGCUAUCUCCUUCAUGCUUAUGUAGGUCCCUGUGAAGAUGUCUUGACUCCUUUAUGUAAAAUACACACCCUGAUUUUAGACAACACUAUCAACUGGCUUCUCACCUAUGGAUCUAAAACCUCCCCAUCUUAUAUUAAUUAAAUCUGUAUAGUAUCGUAAGAUAUAGAAGGUCACAUAUUAAACCUUUAUCCUUACAUACGGGAAGGGAACCAAAGGCCUCAGAUCUGGCUGAGUGAACUGCAUACAAAGACUAACAUUUGAUUGAAAAAAUACUAGACAGUGAUUUUCACCAGUGCUUACUCUGUGUGAGCCUCAGUAAGGCUAGGGACAGACAUUCAAAAUGCCUGAGCCUGUAUUGAUUCAAUCUUUGCAGGUUAGUCUAACCUGGCUAGGCUAAAUCAGUUUUGUAACCAGAGAGACGUCUGAGAAAUGCAAGCACAUGCCUGCAGUGGCUCAGGCUACAAACCGGAGAAUGCUAGAGCAGCCUUCCCUUCUAUUGCACAGGGCUCAGCUGAGAGAAGUGUGGCCAGGUCCCAGCAGGACACUGUGAUUAGGGAGCUCCUCCCCCCUUGGUAAAAGAGCAUUUAUCAACUCUAUUAUCAGCAUUCAACGCCCCAUCAGAAAACAAAGCUUCAUUCUUUACAAGCUCUUCUUAAGCAGCUUUUUCCAAAGGAAAAUGCAUACCAGCCUCUGCCUUCUUUACUAUUCGUUCCAUCCAGGAUGAGCACACACCAACUGCAGAUUCUUUCUCAGCCUGAUGAAGGGUUUUUAAACCCAGAAACUUACUAGGAAUUUUUUUCCCCCAACUAUUUAAUUGGUCUAAUAAAAGAUAUCAGAUUUACCCAAAAAACCUUGCCUCCAUUUUCCAAAGGAAGCAAUGCAGGAACAUUGCCAUCUGAGCUGUUGAUUAUCUCCAAAAAGCCCUAAGUGGACACUGUCCUAGCUGCCUUACACAGCAUUAGCUAGCAUACCACAUGCUGGCUAAAGUCUGUGCUGUGGGAGAGAGAAGAUAGGGAUCUCUGCUUAAGCAGCGAGUGGUUGGUGGGGAGGCGGAGGAGGGAAGAACAGGGAAGCUGACAGCCUUGGCUGUGCCUGAAAGUCUCUGCCGGAGCUCCAGUCAGGGAGCAGAGAGGAGGGGCCAGCCCUGCUAUGGAGCAGAGAGCCCCGCCCAGCCAGAGAGCAUGGUUAUGGUUAACCAGCCCCGCCCAGCCAGAGAGCAUCUGUUAUGGUUUAAGGCAGUUUCUGAGCACUUAAACCAGUUCAUGUGUAAUGUCUGUCCCUAUCCCAGAUGAGCAUGAUGAAAAAGGCAGAAGAAACAAGAGAGACAUGGUCUGAUUAGACUACCCAUGUAUACGGGGCAAACAUUUCCUUACAGAAAACUUGCUAUACUCCAUGUGUCCAUAACUAUUGUCAUCAGCAGGACAGGGCAUUCUGGGCAAAAGGAACAGGUCAACUAUUCGCAUGUUCCUUUAAAACUGCCAAGGACUGGAAUUUUUUGAAAUUUAAUAUUAGGGUUUGGCAACAUAAAUCUGAAGUAUUUAUAAUUACUUAUUUACUUAUAAUUUUUGGCUGGAUGUUUUGAUCUGUGGGAGCCUCUUUCAGUCUACCAAAUUUCUCACUGCUUGCAUUCUGUAUUAAGCUGAACAGUGAGCCUGAAGUAAAGGAGCCACAGACACACAGAACCCAGAACUCAUGUUAUCACUUAUAUUGACAACAAAAGGUAAUGAAUUAGAUCUCCAUUGCUAAGUAGAUGACCUAUUGAAAUAAUUGAAAGGAUAUUUGCCUGGGAAAUAAAACUGAUGGACAAGGUAGAGGUGAGAACAAAGAUGGAAGAUAAAUAGCACUGGCAGCUGCAACCUUUAAUGACCUCAGCAGAGCAAUCUGGAGAUGGCAAGAAAUUCAUGCUGAAAAAGGUUGAUUUAUAGACCCAAUGUCAGAAUGACCCAUAUCUAUGGAUAUGAAUUAUAAGCAAGGGCAGAUUAUCUGUCGAAACAGGAAACUGUCUUCAAAAACAAAUGUUUUUAAAGAAUGAUUGGCACUAGAUGAGAAGAUCUUUGUCAGAUUCAGUAAAAUGAAUUGAUCAAGAACAACUCUUCCAUUAAAGUCAGAAAAAGAAGUGGACCAGAUAAUUGGUGGAAAUAGUAGUAGUGUUAUAACAGCUGAAAAGAUUCAUGGAAUUGACAAUGACUUCACCAACAGGCGUUAUAAAAAUAUUUAAAUGAAGAUGAAAUCACAGCAUUCAGGAAUGUGACUAAGAAUGCUAUUAGCCUUCAUGAUCCAUAUUAGUUCAAUAUGUAGGUACUUGUUAUAAUUUAUACAUUGAGACCCAAGAGUUAAUGUUUACUUAUGAAGAUAUGUAAAUAAGCCUUACAGAGCUAAUGUUUGUGCUUUAUUGGCUAGAAACAACAUAAAGUAAUUUCCUUCAGAUUUGUGUGGCAUACAUAACAUAUACAGGCCUGUUGUAUUUCCAUCUCUCUUAACCAAUGGUAAUUUGCACAUGAAAGCUCUAACUUUUGUACUGAACACUGAAGCAGUUAGGUUGAAAUUAGGGGGCAAAAGUAGCUCAUCCUUAUCAAAAUUCUAAGGCCCCCUUAGAGAGUAAAAACUCUCAUGUUAAAUAAAAAAGAGAGCAUUGAAGAGCAAAUAUACUUGU